This 69-nucleotide transfer RNA is filed under the name Cricetulus griseus (Chinese hamster). It matches the Rfam family "tRNA". From Rfam's summary of the family: Transfer RNA (tRNA) molecules are approximately 80 nucleotides in length. Their secondary structure includes four short double-helical elements and three loops (D, anti-codon, and T loops). The record is from Rfam by way of RNAcentral. Lineage: Eukaryota; Metazoa; Chordata; Mammalia; Rodentia; Cricetidae.
AAGGAUGUGGCUCAGUUGGUAGAGUGCUUGCUUUGAGUAUGCAAAGCCCUGGGUUCAAGCCCAUCCUUA